CCUUCACCUUUCUAUUUUUUUCUCUGUGAGCUAACGAAGAAGAACCUGCCACCAGCGACCGCACAACCUGGCUAUGGCGCCGACGCUCCAGAGCGUCCCCCGUUGUUCUAAGGAUACCGAUGGAUGCGCCUCGUCCUCCUAUUCAAUCUGCCUGAAGGAAUCGACCCCGGACCCCUCAAUUUGACGGCAAAUCGCCGUUCCCUUCUACGAACUUUGGCAGCAAUUUCGUCGAUUCUGGCCGCUACGUUGCUUCCCCGACCUUCCGAGCACGGCUGCAUGUUCAUGAUGCUCCCGCCGGAGCUGCUCAAGUGGUUCCCCGGCUCCAAGUCCACCACCAACAGGAUCCCCACGUUCUUCCGCGUCGAACGCAUCUUUCGCCCCGUCCUGGUUCGUCUGGCAUCGCCAGAUCAAAACUUGAGCCAAGUCUCCAGCAAGCUCGUGUGUGUGUGUUUCGCCAUCUUAUGGGGCAGUGCUUCCCGUCUUAAACAUCUGAAUCCGAUCUAGCCCAGUGGCUGGUCACGUUGCCUCAACAAGAUCGACCCAGGUUCAACUCCUCGCAGCCCAUAUCUUUUUCUUUGUUUGUUCCUUAAUCCUUGUUAUCCAUAUGACCUUGUUCAAAUUCGUCGCUGAUUCAUUUGUUCGUAUCUGAACCACAGAGUAGAUGGUCUGUACUCUGGAUGUACACUCGUGAGAUGCUGGGUUCAAUUCCAGGCUUAGAGCAUCUCCACUCGUGCCCCCGACGAGGCCCCCGAGCGACGUUUUUCCCAUCCGGACGGCGAAAUUCGGCCCAGUCGCGCCCCCGGUUCCUCGUUUUCGUCCGGAUUUGGCCCUUCAUCCAUCCGGCGAGCCCACGCCACCCCGGCCCCCGGGAGCGCUCGGGGACUCCGGACGAGUGAAAAGCGGGGAAGGGCCCGAUCUGUCGGUGACUCGACGCACGAACCCCACCGCCACGUCGCUCAAAAUCUCCCCCACCCCUCGUAUCUCUCUCGCCGCCGGCACCACCCCGCCGGCUUGUUGCCCAGAUUCCGCCGCCCCUCCUUCCCCACCUGCCUAUAUUCCGCCGUCUUUGGACGACGGCCUAUCUGGCUGCUCUUCCGCCGGCCUGUUUUCCGGCCUGCUUGCUCCUCGUCGCUCGCGGCUCGGGUUGCCUCGACCACGCUCGUCAGGUGUUCGUCCAUUUGCCUCGCCGGCCAUGGACUCGGACGAAGAGGAGGAGCAGAUGUUCGUCGAGCUUAUGCAAGAAGAGAUGGCAGCAGCCGCCCAAGACGACGAGCACAUGAUGAUCCUCGGUUGCUUGGCAAGCAUGUACGCCGGACUGGCAACUGGUCGACGUGGUGGGUCGGCACGAGGUCGCCGGAAGUGCAAGCCGAGACAGCGAAUGGAGGGCUACUGCAUGUUGUACGCCGACUACUUCGCCGACAAUCCAUUGCACGGUGAGAGUGUUUUCCGGCGUCGUUUCAGGAUGAGCAGAAAGCUAUUUC
Non-coding RNA from Lolium perenne, 1481 nucleotides. Lineage: Eukaryota; Viridiplantae; Streptophyta; Magnoliopsida; Poales; Poaceae. The record is from RefSeq and is a predicted model, not a curated record.